This 484-nucleotide ribosomal RNA is filed under the name uncultured bacterium. Its description in RNAcentral is "partial 16S ribosomal RNA". It matches the Rfam family "Bacterial small subunit ribosomal RNA", at positions 30 to 507 of the family's 1533-position model. The record is from RNAcentral.
AUUGAACGCUGGCGGCAGGCCUAACACAUGCAAGUCGAGCGGAUGAAGGGAGCUUGCUCCUGGAUUCAGCGGCGGACGGGAGAGUAAUGCCUAGGAAUCUGCCUGGUAGUGGGGGAUAACGUCCGGAAACGGGCGCUAAUACCGCAUACGUCCUGAGGGAGAAAGUGGGGGAUCUUCGGACCUCACGCUAUCAGAUGAGCCUAGGUCGGAUUAGCUAGUUGGUGGGGUAAAGGCCUACCAAGGCGACGAUCCGUAACUGGUCUGAGAGGAUGAUCAGUCACACUGGAACUGAGACACGGUCCAGACUCCUACGGGAGGCAGCAGUGGGGAAUAUUGGACAAAGGGCGAAAGCCUGAUCCAGCCAUGCCGCGUGUGUGAAGAAGGUCUUCGGAUUGUAAAGCACUUUAAGUUGGGAGGAAGGGCAGUAAGUUAAUACCUUGCUGUUUUGACGUUACCAACAGAAUAAGCACCGGCUAACUUCGUG